Coturnix japonica (Japanese quail) is the source of this 883-nucleotide long non-coding RNA. NCBI's taxonomy places the organism in Eukaryota, Metazoa, Chordata, Aves, Galliformes, Phasianidae. The record is from Ensembl.
CGAGCUGCACCCCCCCGCCUCCCAGCCCCCCAAGUGGGUCCCCAUUGGCGGCCCAACAAAGCCCACCACCACCACGGAGCUGAGCACCCCCCCGUCGCCGCAGCCUGACGACCCCAAAGCGCCCCAUAGCGCCGCAGAGCCCAAAGCCGGGACCCCCCCUCCAAACCAAGUCAACACGGGGGCACCCAGAGGUGACGGCACCGACGGCAAGGCCUCGACGCCGGAUGGCAACAAAGCCACCGCCCCGGUGUCACCGACCACCAACGAGACCCAACCGGCCCCAUCGGCAUCACCCAACCGCACCGAAGCCAAAGCGGCACCAACCAGCCCCAAAGGGAGCUCUGAUGGCAAAGCCGGCACGGCACCGGCGCUCACCGGUACCACCGGUACCACCGGUACCACCAGUACCACCGGUAGCACCGAAGAAGCCAAACCGGUUCCGACACAUGGAGGUCCAAGAAGCAACAAUCAGACGGCGCCGGUGACGCCACCCAAGGCCGGAACCGCGGCACAACCAAUAGGGCCCAAAGCCAACAGCACCGCCACGGUGACACCACAACAGGCCGCCAACACCAACAUGGCGACACCACAACAGGCCACCAACACCAACAUGGCGACACAACAGGCUGCCAGCACCACAACGGUGACACAACAGGCCGCCAUCAAGGCCAACACCACGAUGGCAACACCGCAACAGGCCAACACCGCGACGGCAACACCACACCAGGCCGCCAACACCGCCAUGGUGACACAACAGGCCGCCAUCAAGGCCAACACCGCGACGGUGACGCCGCAACAGGCCAACGCCGCGAUGGCGGCAACGCAACAGGUCAGCACCAAGGACAGCUCCGCGAUGGGGGCAAUGCAACAGAUCAGCACCAAG